Molecule: transfer RNA, 76 nt
Filed under: Cordylochernes scorpioides
Lineage: Eukaryota; Metazoa; Arthropoda; Arachnida; Pseudoscorpiones; Chernetidae
Description: tRNA-Thr
Source: RNAcentral
GUCCAGGGGAUAGGAAACGAACUCAUAGUGUUUCCGCUUACCGGGCAGAUGCCAUGUCCACUAGGCUUACCCUGGA